GUUACUUUGACAUGCUUCAUGGACCUAUCUACACUAAUCUCAUAACAGAGUUCUGGUUAAAUGUCUCUGUUAGGCAAUCUGGUGAGGAUGUUAAGUAAAUACAGUCUAAUGUAUAUGACUUUCCUAUCACCAUUACUCAAUCACUUAUUGCCCAAACAAUAAAGUUUGAAGAGAAAGGUAGUUGUGUUGAACAAUAUAAAUUCAUAAUGUAUUCUCAAACCACCUUCUCUUAAUUAAUGACAACUACAAUAACCUCACCAGUCAUGCUUCUCUCUUCCCUAUUGCAAAAGUUUGGUAUCAACUUCUAGUUUCAAAUCUUCGUCCAAGAGAGAAACAAUUAGAAAUUCUUACUUCAUAUGACAUGCAUCUUUUGUGACCUCUCGCGAGGAAAUAAAUUUCCUCAAACCAUAUGGAAGAGUUCUUUCCGAACUUUUCUCUCAGUUAGGGAUAGUUAAAAGGUUAAAAAGAGCAAGGUUAAAAAUUAAAGUUGAGUUGAGUCAGAAGUUUGAAUAUGUUGAAUAUUUAUAUGUUGUACUUUUUUGUUAUAUGUUGUCAUGCUUCUCUGAUUAUCAUUGAAAUUUUUCCUUUCAUUCUCAAUCGUAUUAUUGUGUAAUCUUUUUUAUUAAUAACAAAGAUUUUG
This 640-nucleotide long non-coding RNA is filed under the name Lathyrus oleraceus (garden pea). RNAcentral's name for it is "Pisum sativum (pea) long non-coding RNA (PSAT_LNC019263)". Lineage: Eukaryota; Viridiplantae; Streptophyta; Magnoliopsida; Fabales; Fabaceae. The record is from RNAcentral.